This is a long non-coding RNA of Melitaea cinxia (Glanville fritillary), 1323 nucleotides long. RefSeq lists it as uncharacterized. The transcript has 2 exons. The record is from RefSeq and is a predicted model, not a curated record. NCBI's taxonomy places the organism in Eukaryota, Metazoa, Arthropoda, Insecta, Lepidoptera, Nymphalidae.
GCCAGCGCGCUGCAGCCCGCCGCGCGCGCUGCGCUGCACGCUGCCGGAUGGGAGUGUCGCGCGUCGUAUGAGCGACCUCUAUGUGGCGCCGCGCUCACACUGCCGCUAGUGCGGCUCGGCAUCGACCUACCACUGGCGUGAUCGAUUUAUUUAAUUCGCACAAUUUAAAUAAAUCGAACAUAUCUGUAUUUCAUUAAGUUUAUUUACAAACAAAAUAUAUUCCCUGCGAAAAUACCACGACACUUUACCAUCGUCGUUUGCCGCUAUUCUAUUUUUAAUUUGAGGGGUGCUCGAUUUUACGUUUGCUUCCCCGGUUGGCCGAGAGGGUCGUUUUCUUCCCGAACAGCAUUCGAAGAGUCGUUGGGGUCGUGACCUGCCGAAAGAUGGAAAAUAUAGACGAACUAUUUAUUCCUCACGACGCGAGUUGCAAAUAAGACGGAUAUCCGUCACCUGUACACGGUUGCUUCCGUGCGCCAGCCUGGCGCGAGCGCGGACGCGCGCCGCCACGGCCGCCCGCUCGACGCUCGCCAUCAGUGACUCGCUGCGUUUGUCCGCCAGUACGCGCGCGGCUAUUCGAAACAGCGCGCUAAGCGACUCGUCUGUGCACUCCAUCGCCGCAUCCAAAGCAUGCGCUACCUCGUGAGGCCCCAGCUUGUCCCGCCCCGUCGCCUCGGCGCGCGGCGCAGUCGUAGCGAGCAGCGCGCCGCGCAACAACAUAUCGGCAAGUGCCGAUGACGCAUGAUCGGGGGAUGCGCGCGUCGCGUCCGACAGCUCCAGCAGCAUCUCGGCCGUCGCUGUGUGCUGCCACAUCAGCGCGAUGCGCUUCAUCGUCUGCGACACGGGAUCAGAAACGAAAUGAAUAAAGAAUACUUGUUUAUUGGAUAUACAUAAAAAGUUUACAAAUUAAGAGUAUAAAACUGAAGCUUUAUAAUACAAUAAUAGCACGAACAUAAAAGAAGAAUAUAAAGAAGAUAAGGGUUCUACGUGCGAGGAAGUGUGGAAAUAACGAUAGAUUUAACGAGAGCGUACGAACAGCCGCCUCGUUCUGCGCGGCAACGAGCAGCGCUUGCAGCAUCCGCGUAGCGAGUGCCGGCCGCGCACCGCACAGCACGGCGACGGAUAGCCAGGCCGCCAUGAGAACGACUUCUGCCUCUUCGAACGGCUUUUUCUGGAUUCUUUUUCGCUUCAGCGCUCGCUCUAUGCUCGAAAAUAUCUGACGAUUAUACGAAUACUUGAAUAUUCUUUAUAGAUCUGAAUAUUGUGAUAAAAACAUACAUAUACAUAUUAUAUAGUUUGUACAAUAAUAUUUUUUUAAUUUUUUCA